GAGCGCAACCCUUGUCCUUAGUUACCAGCACGUUAUGUGGGCACUCUAAGGAGACUGCCGGUGACAAACCGGAGGAAGGUGGGAUGACGUCAAGUUAUCAUGGCCCUUACGGCCUGGGCUACACACGUGCUACAAUGGUCGGUACAAAGGGUUGCCAAGCCGCGAGGUGGAGCUAAUCCCAUAAAACCGAUCGUAGUCCGGAUCGCAGUCUGCAACUCGACUGCGUGAAGUCGGAAUCGCUAGUAAUCGUGAAUCAGAAUGUCACGGUGAAUACGUUCCCGGGCCUU
RNAcentral lists this ribosomal RNA (287 nucleotides) under uncultured Pseudomonas sp. Its description in RNAcentral is "partial 16S ribosomal RNA". It matches the Rfam family "Bacterial small subunit ribosomal RNA", at positions 1094 to 1382 of the family's 1533-position model. The record is from RNAcentral. Lineage: Bacteria; Pseudomonadati; Pseudomonadota; Gammaproteobacteria; Pseudomonadales; Pseudomonadaceae.